RNAcentral lists this ribosomal RNA (806 nucleotides) under Emericellopsis sp. CBS 137197. Its description in RNAcentral is "eukaryotic LSU rRNA". It matches the Rfam family "Eukaryotic large subunit ribosomal RNA", at positions 91 to 932 of the family's 3401-position model. The record is from RNAcentral. Lineage: Eukaryota; Fungi; Ascomycota; Sordariomycetes; Hypocreales; Bionectriaceae.
UAGUGAGCGGCAACAGCUCAAAUUUGAAAUCUGGCCUCGUGCCCGAGUUGUAAUUUGUAGAGGAUGCUUUUGGCGACGCGCCUUCCGAGUUCCCUGGAACGGGACGCCAUAGAGGGUGAGAGCCCCGUCCGGUCGUGCGCCUAGCCUCUGUAAAGCUCCUUCGACGAGUCGAGUAGUUUGGGAAUGCUGCUCUAAAUGGGAGGUAUACGUCUUCUAAAGCUAAAUACCGGCCAGAGACCGAUAGCGCACAAGUAGAGUGAUCGAAAGAUGAAAAGCACUUUGAAAAGAGGGUUAAAUAGUACGUGAAAUUGCUGAAAGGGAAGCGCUUAUGACCAGACUUGGGCGCGGCGGAUCAUCCGGCGUUCUCGCCGGUGCACUCCACCGCCCCAGGCCAGCAUCAGUUCGCGCCGGGGGAUAAAGGCUUCGGGAAUGUGGCUCUCUCGGGAGUGUUAUAGCCCGCUGCGUAAUACCCUGGCGCGGACUGAGGUCCGCGCUCUGCAAGGAUGCUGGCGUAAUGGUCAUCAGUGACCCGUCUUGAAACACGGACCAAGGAGUCGUCUUCGUAUGCGAGUGUUCGGGUGUCAAACCCCUACGCGGAAUGAAAGUGAACGUAGGAGAGAGCUUCGGCGCAUCUCCGACCGAUCCUGAUGUUCUCGGAUGGAUUUGAGUAAGAGCAUACGGGGCCGGACCCGAAAGAAGGUGAACUAUGCCUGUGUAGGGUGAAGCCAGAGGAAACUCUGGUGGAGGCUCGCAGCGGUUCUGACGUGCAAAUCGAUCGUCAAACAUGGGCAUGGGGGCGAAAGACU